Molecule: long non-coding RNA, 1218 nt
Organism: Passer domesticus (house sparrow)
Lineage: Eukaryota; Metazoa; Chordata; Aves; Passeriformes; Passeridae
Exons: 4
Source: RefSeq, a predicted model, not a curated record
UAUUGCUCCAAGCUGGGCAAUGAACCUGGGAAAGUUGCUUUGCUACCAUCCAUGAUACAGUACAAAUCAGCAAGCAGCUCACAUAUGGGUCAGCCUGCAAUCUCCUUAGUCAGCAUCUAAGGCUAGUCCCAGGUGUCAGAGCUUGCAACAUUUGGGACAGGACUCUUGACCGAGUUUAAAGGCAAAGGCAACAGAGUAAAUUUGUUUUCCCCAAAUAGAAUGUGCCUCCUGUUCAAUGUUUGUCCCCUUGAAUAGUGUAAAAAUGCUGACUCCACAGCUAGUAGGAGAGAGUUCAUCAGCUGCACUGGGCUCCAGUGAAUAAACCCAGUGAUUUUGUCACCAGCCAGUUUAGCUCAGAGUCUGGCUGAGGCAGCUGCUCAGUGUCUCCAGUGUUUGUGUGGACAUGCUCUGAAGCACAGGAUCUGGCAGUGACAGUUUUCCCUUUUGCACAUCACCUGCUUCACUGCUUUUGCAUAAGGGUGAUCUAAAGCUUAGCAAAGACUCUUAGCUGGAAAUAUUGCACACGUAUUAGAAUUACUGUAAUGUUCUUCCUUUGCAGAAAGCAAUUCAUUAGCUACUGGCUCAAGAACCUUUGGCUAACAACAGGCAUUCAAACCAUCAGCCUUAUCUCCAGCUGAACAAUGCAAAUAGAGGCAAAUCUGAGAGCACAUGGAGGAUCCAGAAGACGUGGUCAUGGUUCUGCAGCUCCUUGCCUAGUAUUUCCUCUGUGCCUGUGAGUGCUUCAGCUCAGCCCGCUUCCUGAGCAUUAGCAGUCCCGGGAGCCUGGAGACAGCAUUUUCCAACAGCAAGAAUUCUGCCUCUCAGAGCAACAGAACAACAGCAUUUUUUCGGUCAGUCACACAAUGAAACUUUAAGAAAUGCAAUAACAGACCUUGGAAGGUGAAAUUAAAGCUACCAUCUUUGUUCAGCCAGAGCUGCAGUCAAAUACAGGAGUUCUGCUGACAGUGCCUUCAUGCUGGCUCUCAGUGACAGCAAGCAAAGUAAAGCAAGAAAUAUCUGUAGGCUUGUCAUGUACUAAUAUCCUUUUGAUAAUGCAGACUGUUAAUCCUAACCCAGGUAAAGAGAAGAAAAGAAAUUGGGUUCUUAUCUUAAAGAGUCCACAUUGGCCAGAUGAACACUUCAAGGUCAUCCAGUAUCGCUAUAAACAAAACAAAUGUAUCGGCUCUAUUAUGUUGCUAAAAUCCCAGCUGACUGACA